This 1643-nucleotide unclassified non-coding RNA is filed under the name Homalodisca vitripennis (glassy-winged sharpshooter). RNAcentral describes it as "wW domain-containing adapter protein with coiled- coil homolog, transcript variant X2". The record is from RNAcentral. Lineage: Eukaryota; Metazoa; Arthropoda; Insecta; Hemiptera; Cicadellidae.
UGAGCAUUCGUCUGAUCUGCAGCAGGCAGCAGCUCACGUCUCAACUGUGACAUGGCGUCUGAAAAGGAAGUUUGUUAACAAAUUAAAGUUAAUGUUGUUUUUAUGACGUUUGGGCAGUAGGAGGGCUGUAAUUGAAGCCGAAUAUAUAUUUCAUUGACUUGCAUUGAUGGUAAUGCAUGCUAGGAAACCUCAAAGGAUCAGCGAUGGGUAUUUCGAGAAACAUCAGGCCCAUCCCUAUCAGGUUGUGAAUGCAGAUUCAACUCAUCUCAAAAAUUCAAAGUAUACAAAAGGAAACUAUGCUGAUCGCUGCAAAGACGAAAGAAUGCGGGACUCUCCUAACGGAAAUUCCUAUCGUUCGGAAAGUCCAGAUUCAGAGAGUCCAAGAGACAGAACGUAUCAGAGCAAAGGCUCUUUCAUCCAGAAAGUUCGGGAAAAGGAGAGAGAAAAUAGAGACUACAAAUCGAGAGACAAAUAUUCUGAUUGUGUUAGGUCUCCAAAGGACAAACGUGCGAGAGAAAGCAGAGAUUCCGAGCACAGAACUAAUCAUGACAGGAAUAGUUCAGAGGAUAAGAGGGAGGAGCGGGAUAGGGUGUUACGGGUAGGAGACUGGUCAGAGCACCUCAGUUCGUCAGGCAAGAAGUACUAUUAUAACUGCAAGACGGAGGUGUCACAAUGGGAGAAGCCCAGAGAAUGGGUGGAACGCAGCCGGCCGGUCCCGGCUCACCCCCUGACUCCUACAUACAACAGUGGCUCCAGUAGGACAGAAGAUAAACAUUCCAACUCCCGCAGUAACCUAAAAAGCAGCAGUGCUAGGGGGCUGGACAAACCUUGUAGAGAUUCCAGCUAUUGGCCGAAUGAAGCUGUGGAUUGUUUGGAAAACCAGACAACACAGGACAUGGAAAUAUGUUCAGGUGACAGCACGCCAACAUCAGAAGCAUCAUAUGCACAUACAGUAGCAACUCCGUUACCUGUGGACCCUCCCACUGCCAAUGCACCCGGACCUCCUGCCGAGAUAGUCCCACUGAAGGUUGAUGUCAACUCAACGUCAGCUGUGGACCCGGGCCCGCCCACACCCACACAUUCAGAAAGUCAAGACUGUGUUGAUGCCAGGAAAUUGGGCAGUCCCCCCAGCAGCCUGAGCUGUCUACAGAGCCUGGCAGUAAGUUCGUCAUCUCUGGCGGCGCUUACGCCAUCGCUAGCCAACCAUUACCGGGACGAUCUCGUUAACCAUGUCAGGGGCUGGCCGGCAGACGUCUGUGAGAAACAGGCGCAAAAAACUAAGUGAAGAAGUCCACAAUCUAGGCAGUUUGCAGUGUACUAGAGUGUCUGCUGAUCUCAAGUCUGCACGAUCUAUCGUCAGGCUCACUGAAAUCCAGGCGACGUUACAAGAACAAAGGGAAAGUUCUUUGCACCGUCUCCAACAAGUGGUAGGAAGUUGGCAACUUGAUGUGAUCGGAGAUAGCCAGUUUUAGUGUAGGUUUACCUUUAAGUUUUGUAAAUAAAUGGGAAUUUAACUCAAAUAUACAUGUACAGUGUAAACUGGCAUUAUUUCUUAUUAAUGUGAAACUUAUUCAAUUAUCUAUCUAUAUUAACAUUUUAUGUCAUGUAAAAAUAUAGUAAAUUACAUUACAUUUUAAACAGAA